Molecule: small RNA, 91 nt
Filed under: Salmonella enterica
Lineage: Bacteria; Pseudomonadati; Pseudomonadota; Gammaproteobacteria; Enterobacterales; Enterobacteriaceae
Also listed under: 2 other names
Description: partial RtT sRNA
Rfam family: RtT RNA
About the family: This family represents a bacterial cis-regulatory element known as RtT RNA. The exact function of RtT is unknown although it is thought that it may be involved in changing the cellular response in relation to amino acid starvation.
Source: RNAcentral
UGCAUCUGAAGCCUGACGAGGAUGAGAACCUCCGGGGGCAAGAGGUUCGACUCGAGCGCAGCGAGAGAACGUUGCGUCAGCAACGGCCCGC